This 581-nucleotide long non-coding RNA is filed under the name Sparus aurata (gilthead seabream). Its description in RNAcentral is "lncRNA (ENSSAUG00010001599.1)". The record is from RNAcentral. Lineage: Eukaryota; Metazoa; Chordata; Actinopteri; Spariformes; Sparidae.
UAACACAUUUUGCAAAUGAGAGAAAGUGGAAAACCAACAGAGCUACACUGUUCUACAUGUGACAGAUGCAACACUCGGAUGCUGGAAACAAAAACCAUAUAAAGCUGUUUUGGCUCACAGUUAUCUGGCAGACGCAGAACAACAUUAGCAUCCGAAUGAAGACGUGUUUCUGUCCACCUGAUGAAUAGUCUGCCUGGGUUGUUGGAGCGGUUGAAUCCAGUUGUCUGUCAGCGGAGGAAAAUCAUCAGGUUGCCAACUUUCCAUGGCGCCUCAACAACGAAGCUGUCGGAUUCAGACAGCCACCAAAUCUGACUGCAGAUAAACAACUGUUCACGGCUGCGACAUCUCAGGGAGGAAAUCAUUCUGUGCUGAGGAACAAUGGGUUAAAUUUGCACCCCGAUUAAUGAGUUUUACUUCAAAUGUGUCGUACUUUAAUAAAGAGGUUUUCAAACUGUGAGGUAGAGUUGAAUCCUGAAUCGUGAGUCAUGACUCUGGACACGCUGACAUGAUGCACAUAUUUUUAGAUCCAUACUUCCACAGCCUGAGGAUAUCAUCUCUGGUGUCUUUCACAAGUAACAUCC